RNAcentral lists this ribosomal RNA (254 nucleotides) under uncultured bacterium. RNAcentral's name for it is "partial 16S ribosomal RNA". It matches the Rfam family "Bacterial small subunit ribosomal RNA", at positions 524 to 776 of the family's 1533-position model. The record is from RNAcentral.
GACGGAGGAUGCAAGCGUUAUCCGGAAUGAUUGGGCGUAAAGCGUCCGCAGGUGGCAGUUCAAGUCUGCUGUCAAAGACCGGGGCUUAACUUCGGAAAGGCAGUGGAAACUGAACAGCUAGAGUAUGGUAGGGGCAGAGGGAAUUCCUGGUGUAGCGGUGAAAUGCGUAGAGAUCAGGAAGAACAUCGGUGGCGAAGGCGCUCUGCUGGACCAUAACUGACACUCAGGGACGAAAGCUAGGGGGAGCGAAUGGG